AAAUGCUGCAAAUUCAUUCUGCAAAGAGAGAAUGGCUACAUCAGGAAUAUUUUUAAAGCAUUAAUUUUACACGGCUUUUAGAGCCUUCAGGAGAUGUGAGGCCUGAGGUGAGCAGGAAGAAGAUGAGGUAGAGGAGCGAGAGCAGCGGUGGUGGAGGCAGACAAAGACAUAAUGAGAAAUACACGAUGAAAUGUCCAAAUCUUAAAGCUAGAGCUAUUUGUGAAAACUAACAAAUACCUGACAUGUUACAACAAUUUUCAGCUAUAUUUCGGUGUUUAAAAUGUUCAUCAGAUUUCCCCUUUCUUUCAAAAUUGUCUGGAUUUUGAAUAGAUUUCUACUGGGGUAUAGAGGGUUGUCCUAAGCUAAGCUAACCAGGGGCUGGCUGCAUUCUUCUAUUCAACGGACAGAUAAAAGAGCGGUGUUUAUCUUCUCAUCCAACUCUUGGCAAGAAAGUGGCUAAAGCUGGAUACAAGACGUGACCUCAACGCUGACCCUCACAGAUGAGACAUGUUUCUCUCUUCCCUCCCUGUAGACAUAUCAACACGAUCGGCCUACAUUUGCUGCUUGACAGGUGAGAGCAGGUGGGAGAGCCGUGGGUGUUGUUAACUCAGAGGUGAAAAGAAAGGCCCGGACUGAUGUCGUUCUCCGUCCUCCCUCUGUUCUGAUUUCUGCUCCUGCGUUGGCGUGAGUCUGCUCUCGGCUCCAAGGGCAAACAAAAAGGGAAACGGCAGCAGGUUGUCACGGCAACACAGGAGCUACUCAUACAUACAGCGUGAGGAAGAGCGUCAGUGGGCUGGAGCUGAGGAACCUUUCACGACUUCCGCUGAUGAGUGGGCAUCUAAAGAUGGGAGCAUGUCACGAGCUUUAUUUAUAGCGGGCUGUAUCUUUAGUAGCUGGUGGCCUAUUUUAACACAGACAGUGAUCUAUAAGUCUCAGCAUGCACCACAACAUACAAAAAAUAGAACUUAGAGAUCGUACUAUUAAAUCAACCUUGUUCCUGAAAAGCAGGAAUGACGCACAACAUGGAAAUUAAACAGGUGUAUUUAUUUGCAAAGCAUUUAAAUAUUACACUGAUGGAAAAUAUUGCAAAGUUGCAAAUUUUAUCCGUGUUUAUGCCGAAACUAUAAAAGGCCGAUGGGUUGUUGUCGUCACCUGCUGUGGUUUUGAAUGCAGCAUCUCGAGAACAAGGCAACAUAGGA
This 1199-nucleotide long non-coding RNA is filed under the name Oreochromis niloticus (Nile tilapia). Its description in RNAcentral is "lncRNA (ENSONIG00000041747.1)". The record is from RNAcentral. Lineage: Eukaryota; Metazoa; Chordata; Actinopteri; Cichliformes; Cichlidae.